RNAcentral lists this transfer RNA (85 nucleotides) under Solilutibacter silvestris. RNAcentral describes it as "Lysobacter silvestris tRNA-Leu". It matches the Rfam family "tRNA". Rfam says of the family: Transfer RNA (tRNA) molecules are approximately 80 nucleotides in length. Their secondary structure includes four short double-helical elements and three loops (D, anti-codon, and T loops). Further hydrogen bonds mediate the characteristic L-shaped molecular structure. tRNAs have two regions of fundamental functional importance: the anti-codon, which is responsible for specific mRNA codon recognition, and the 3' end, to which the tRNAs corresponding amino acid is attached (by aminoacyl-tRNA synthetases). tRNAs cope with the degeneracy of the genetic code in two manners: having more than one tRNA (with a specific anti-codon) for a particular amino acid; and 'wobble' base-pairing, i.e. permitting non-standard base-pairing at the 3rd anti-codon position. The record is from RNAcentral. Lineage: Bacteria; Pseudomonadati; Pseudomonadota; Gammaproteobacteria; Lysobacterales; Lysobacteraceae.
GCGAAAGUGGCGGAAUUGGUAGACGCCCUGGUUUUAGGUACCAGUGCCGCAAGGCGUCCGGGUUCGAGUCCCGGCUUUCGCACCA